UUCAGAGGUGGCGAGCGUUGUUCGGAUUUACUGGGCGUAAAGGGUGUGUAGGUGGUUCUGCAUGUCGGAUGUGAAAUCCCACGGCUCAACUGUGGAAUUGCAUCCGAAACUGCAGUUCUAGAGUGCAGGAGAGGAGAGCGGAAUUCUCGGUGUAGCGGUGAAAUGUGUUGAUAUCGAGAGGAACACCGGUGGCGAAGGCGGCUCUCUGGAAUGUUACUGACACUGAGACACGAAAGCUGGGGGAGCAAAC
This 250-nucleotide ribosomal RNA is filed under the name uncultured bacterium. RNAcentral describes it as "partial 16S ribosomal RNA". It matches the Rfam family "Bacterial small subunit ribosomal RNA", at positions 524 to 773 of the family's 1533-position model. The record is from RNAcentral.